This 253-nucleotide ribosomal RNA is filed under the name uncultured prokaryote. RNAcentral describes it as "partial 16S ribosomal RNA". It matches the Rfam family "Bacterial small subunit ribosomal RNA", at positions 524 to 776 of the family's 1533-position model. The record is from RNAcentral.
UAUGGGGGGGGUAAGCGUUGUUCGGAAUUACUGGGCGUAAAGGGCUCGUAGGCGGCCAACUAAGUCAGACGUGAAAUCCCUCAGCUUAACUGGGGAACUGCGUCUGAUACUGGAUGGCUUGGAUUCGGGAGAGGAAUGCGGAAUUCCAGGUGUAGCGGUGAAAUGCGUAGAUAUCUGGAGGAACACCGGUGGUGUAGACGGCUGACUGGACCACGACUGACGCUGAGGCACGAAAGCGUGGGUAGCAAACAGG